Molecule: ribosomal RNA, 390 nt
Filed under: uncultured bacterium
Lineage: Bacteria
Description: bacterial SSU rRNA
Rfam family: Bacterial small subunit ribosomal RNA
Source: RNAcentral
AUUGAACGCUGGCGGCAUGCCUUACACAUGCAAGUCGAACGGCAGCACGGGGCAACCUGGUGGCGAGUGGCGAACGGGUGAGUAAUGCAUCGGAACGUGCCAUUGAGCGGGGGAUAACGUAGCGAAAGUUGCGCUAAUACCGCAUAUUCUGUGAGCAGGAAAGCAGGGGACCGCAAGGCCUUGCGCUCUUUGAGCGGCCGAUGUCAGAUUAGCUAGUUGGUGAGGUAACGGCUUACCAAGGCGACGAUCUGUAGCGGGUCUGAGAGGAUGAUCCGCCACACUGGAACUGAGACACGGUCCAGACUCCUACGGGAGGCAGCAGUGGGGAAUUUUGGACAAUGGGCGCAAGCCUGAUCCAGCCAUGCCGCGUGAGUGAAGAAGGCCUCGGUU